UACGAAGGGGGCUAGCGUUGCUCGGAAUCACUGGGCGUAAAGCGCACGUAGGCGGACUCUUAAGUCGGUGGUGAAAUCCUGGAGCUCAACUCCAGAACUGCCUUCGAUACUGAGAGUCUCGAGUCCGGGAGAGUUGAGUGGAACUGCGAGUGUAGAGGUGAAAUUCGUAGAUAUUCGCAAGAACACCAGUGGCGAAGGCGGCUCACUGGCCCGGUACUGACGCUGAGGUGCGAAAGCGUGGGGAGCAAACAGG
Molecule: ribosomal RNA, 253 nt
Filed under: uncultured bacterium
Lineage: Bacteria
Description: partial 16S ribosomal RNA
Rfam family: Bacterial small subunit ribosomal RNA
Source: RNAcentral